UAUACUUGAAAGUUCAAACAACCGCCACUGGGGUUCUGCUUCGCUAAAACCCUUUCCUCAACUCGGAAAGCAAACCACAACCAAUAUACAGUUAUGCACCUUCUAUUCCGUUUCCCCGCCGUCACGCGCCGCAACUACCUUGUACUCCGCCACUACAAGACGGCGAAGAAACCACCGUUUCCUACAGCGACCCCUCCAAAAGCUCCAAAGAAGCCUCAGAACUUUAGCUUCCACGGGAUAACAUGGGAGGAUCCUUACAGCUGGAUGUCGAGCCUGAACGACAAGGUAGCGAUGCGGCACAUGGACGUUUACAUGGAGCAAGAGGAGAAGUACACUGAGGCCGUAAUGUCCGAUUCCGAACGCAUCGUUAACAAGCUUCACUUCGAAAUGGCCUCUCGAGUUCCCUUCGAACUUUCCACUCCUCCUCUUCGCUGGGGACCUUGGUUGUACUAUCGCCGUGUUGAAGAAGGAAAACCUUACCCUGUGCUUUGCAGAAGAUUGGCUAGCUUGCACGAUGAUUUCAUAUCGCAUAAAUAUCCUCCUGCAGGCUUUGAUUUUACUACAGGGAAGACAGUUGAGCAGAAGCUGGUUGAUUAUAAUCAAGAGGCAGAGAGAUUUGGAGGUUAUGCUUAUGAGGAACUUUCCGAGGUUUCGCCAAAUCACCAUUUUCUUGCAUAUACUAUGUAUGAUAAAGACAAUGGCUACUUCAAGUUAUCUGUGAGAAAUUUGAAUUCGGGUUCCUUGUGCAGUAAGCCUCAAGCAGAUCGUGUUUCAAAUUUGGCUUGGGCUAAAGAUGGUCAGGCAUUGCUUUAUGUUGUAACAGAUGAGAAGAUGAGGCCAUACCGGAUCUAUUACAGUCUUAUUGGAUCAACUGAUGAUGAUGUUUUGCUUUUGGAAGAAUCUGAUGAAAAUGUUCACAUUAGUAUAAGGCACACAAAAGACUUUAAAUUUGUGACUGUGAAUACAUUAUCCCCCACAUCAUCAAAGGUCUUUCUAAUAAAUGCAGCUGAUCCAUUGUCUGGCUUGAAACUUGUUUGGGAGUGUGAAGCUAUAGUUCACUGCGUAGUUGAACAUCACCAAGGUUAUCUUUAUUUAUUUACAAAUGCUCCCAAAGGUGGGCAAUCGGUUGAUUAUCAUUAUCUUCUUAGUAGUCCCGAGGACACUCAUUCAAAUCCAAGAAAGUGGGAGGAGGUAAUUGUCGACGACCCAACUUUGGUUAUUGAGGAUGUUGAUUUUAGUGAUAAAUACUUGGCACUCAUUGUAAGAGAAAAUCAAAAUUUUCAACUUUGUUCAGUUAGACUGCCAUUGCCCUUCGGGAAGGGGGCAGUUAAAUUGAGGAAGCUUGACAUGCAAUUUUUGUCUCUUCCAAAACAUGUUUGUCAAAUUUCACCUGGACCAAACUAUGACUUCUUUUCAUCAGUCAUGCGCUUUAUAAUAUCAUCUCCUGUGAUGCCUGAUGCUGUGGUUGAUUAUGACCUAGCAACCUGUAGGUGGAACAUUAUUCAACAGCAAAAUAUGCUUCAUGACAGGACACGAAUAUUAUAUGGUACAAAUUCUUCAAGUGUAACUGUGGAACCGUCAGAUGCAAGAUAUUCCAGUCCCAUGCAUGCCAAUUUGGAAGAUGACCACUUAUGGAAUGACCUGUCUGAGUUUUAUGCCUGUGAACAAUAUGUUGUACCUUCAUUUGAUGGGGUUCUGAUUCCCUUGACUAUUGUUUUUGCACGUGAAAAUAAGCCAAAAGAUGAAAAACCUGGAAUAUUGCUUGGUCAUGGAGCUUAUGGUGAGUUACUCGACAAACGGUGGCGCAGUGAAUUUAAAAGCCUUCUGGACCGUGGUUGGGUCAUAGCCUAUGCUGAUGUUAGAGGCGGAGGUGGUUAUGGCAAGAAAUGGCAUCAUGAUGGAAGACGAACAAAGAAACAUAAUUCAGUCAAUGACUAUAUUUCUUGUGCUAAGUUUCUCAUAGAAAAAGAUUUUGUGAAUGAAAAACAAUUGGCUGCCUGGGGGUAUAGUGCUGGAGGGCUUUUGGCUGCUGCAGCUAUUAAUCGUUUACCAGAUUUAUUUCGUGCUGCAGUCUUAAAGGUUCCUUUUUUAGAUGCAACCAACACUCUUCUGUAUCCCAUCUUACCACUUGUAGCUGAUGAUUAUGAAGAGUUUGGCUACCCUGGGGACCUCGAUGAUUUUCUUGCAAUUCGAGAGUAUUCUCCAUAUGACAAUGUUCAAAAGGAUGUUCUUUAUCCAUCGGUAUUAGUAUCCUCGUCUUUCAAUACACGAUUUGGGGUGUGGGAAGCAGCAAAAUGGGUAGCACGAGUUCGCGAUCUUUCAAUAUAUGACCCAAAACGGCCAAUAUUGCUAAACUUGACCUCAGAUAUAGUGGAGGAAAACCGUUAUUUGCAAUCCAAGGAAUCAGCAUUAGAGGCUGCAUUUCUUAUUAAGACGAUGGAAUCCUAGAUAUGAGAGCUGAUCAUUUGCUCAACCUGAGGGUAGUUGGCACUUGUGUGAUGUCUCCCUCCGGCAACCUGAUGUCAAAAUUGAGAUUGUAUUUCUCGAUGAACUAAGAUCCAUUCACAUGCUCCACAUGGGAAAUGCUUGCUAUCCAAUAUUCUUUUCCCAUUGGUUGUAUGCUUAGCUCUCAAGCCUAUCAUUUAUUAUUACGGAUGUUUAGCACGAUGGUCAUUUCCACCCAUAUCAUGAAUGCGUUUAUAGAAUCUUACAGCCCAAA
Lathyrus oleraceus (garden pea) is the source of this 2719-nucleotide RNA transcript. RefSeq lists it as uncharacterized. Lineage: Eukaryota; Viridiplantae; Streptophyta; Magnoliopsida; Fabales; Fabaceae. The record is from RefSeq and is a predicted model, not a curated record. The transcript has 12 exons.